GUCCUCCUAGGCUGAGGCUGGGCUCCGUGGGGAAACAGUCCUCCCCACCUUUGCUCUGGGAGCCCAGGUUGUGUGUGUGUGUCUUCCUGGAGAGGGGAGCGGAGCUUAUCUUUGCUGGGUGCCCUCCCGAUCUACAGAACCUGUAGCCCCUCCCACAAGCCUCCUGGCUCUAAGGGUCGGGGUCCCUGAACCGGAAGGGGAUGUUGGAGACAUGUAGUCGUUUGGGCUGCUGCUUCUCCGUGGGGUCGGAAGGGUGGAGUUGCUGGCUAUCUGUCUGUGCUGCUUCAUCUGCCUGCUGUGGAAAGAAGACUAGUGAUUUUAAAACCAAUGAUCUAUGAAGACCGUUGUGGCAGACCCAGGUGGAGCUGUAGGGAUCAUCACAGAUUGAUCGUCACACCCGUCACCGGGUGUGUACCCCAACAAUACACAGAAGUACUGAAAUACAAUAUUCACUGGAAACCGG
RNAcentral lists this long non-coding RNA (463 nucleotides) under Rattus norvegicus (Norway rat). RNAcentral's name for it is "long non-coding RNA NONRATT005119". The record is from RNAcentral. Lineage: Eukaryota; Metazoa; Chordata; Mammalia; Rodentia; Muridae.